CCUCGCUCCCGGGACUCGCCAGCGAGGGAUGCCGCCGGCCGCCGGGGGCCUUCUCCAGGACCAGGAGAGAAAUCCUCUCUCCGCUUCACGACGCGGCCACUCCCACCCCUGAGACGCCCACCUGGCGGACUCUGAGGGAGGAUUCGGCUGCGUCUAAUACCACCUCCACCCCUCAUCCCUCACAAUGCGCGGAAAACCACAGGCGGCUGUGCGCGCAGCGUCGGCUCAGCCACCGCAGCUCCUCCCCUGGGAUGAAAAAGCACUCUGACGUCUUGAAAGCUGGCAGCUCUCUGUUUGGAAAAUCUCUGCCCAGUGAAAAAAUGUACCGACAAGAUUACUAAGUAACACAGUCUUCUGGGAAUGCCUUAUCAAUGCCAGCUAUUUGAAGAGCACCCAAAGUCAAACUAGUGCUCCGCGCUGGCAGUCUGGAAAAGGCAGAUGUAUGUGAGUAGAGAAACUGAUAGACAACUAGUUGCUGGCCAGUUGGCCUGUUUUCGUGCUACAAGCCUUCAGAAAACAGUCGCCUCCUUUUACCACGUUUCUAUUUCUAAACCAAAAUGAAAAGGACGUUUGUUCAAAAGAUAUUCUCUUGGGCUUUACAUUGCUUUCCCCCUGCUCACUCAGCAAAAUCCUACACUUUUUUUCCAAUUCCAAUGCUGCUGUUGGGUGUCCUUCCCAGAAGACAACCUUAAAUUCUCUUAGGCCUUAGGAGCUGAAUCUAACACCAGUCUUAAUUAACCUACAACAAGACAAAAAUUUAGGUCCGGGCUUACCUCCUAGUCAGCAGAUGGGAAAAAUUCCUAGAGAGUCUCUGGGAAAAAGGCAAAGGCUAACUUUAGCAGUUUGCUAGAAAAAAAAAAAUUCAAGUACCUUGUAAGUCACCAGGGUAGAUGCAGCAAUACUCUCUAAGGUAGCUUUACCUCUUCAAUUCUCUUACCUUACCUGAAUUUAAACACAGUGAGGCAAGUACCAAGGUCACAACCCUCCUGUGGAGGGCCUUAUUCUGCAAGGGCUCUCUGAUAUACUUCUAUCUUUGUACCGUUGGCACCUGACCACAAGCUUAGGCAUCCCUGAAAUGCUCCCUUGCUACCCAGUGUCAAGGAAUCAUUGAACCUUAGACUUUGUACUCAGGUGAACCAGGAUGAAAUCCCUAUUCUUCCAGUUUAAACUUAGGAAAUUUACUGUUCUUUUUAUCUGCCCCCUCCCCACCACCCACAUCCCCUUAUCAUCCCUAUAGGUAUAGUACUACAGGGUGCUGUGAGAAUUAGCUAAUAUGCUCAAAGCACCAAGAACAGUGCCAAUCACUUUGUAAGUAGUCAGUAAAUGAGAGCUACUAUUGUACUUAACUACUCUUCACUGAAAGCAAAAGAACCAGGAAUAGCAAAAAGGUUUGGAAACCUGGGAUCUGAAUCCCCUGCAAGUUGAGUCCACCCCAAGUUGCUUUAUUGCAAUACUUUUGGCUACUCUUGUGUCUGCCUUCUAAUUGGAUCAACUGGGUAGUUCUUCACGUGUAGGCAGGUGAUUCACAUGCACAUUAAUGCUUGAAAGCCACUAGUCUAAAAACUAUGCUACACUGGUUAGUUCACCUCUUCUUAUUUUGUAGCAUGUAAACCUUAAAUCUAGUGAUCUUACCUCAGUCCACCUAAUUCACAUUAACAUCCACACUUAGCAAGCUCUCUGUAAAGGACUGGUAGAAUUAGCAAUCAGUCAACUUGAGUGAGGGUCUUAAAGAAGUACAAGGCUUAUUCUCCGACUUCAGGGUGUUCAUAGUUCAUGGGAAUCAUGCAUACACACAAACCAGAAUAAACCAUUUUGAAGCAAAUGUGCUUGAAGUUCAGCACAUCUCCAGGAAGGAGAGGGUACUGUGAGCUAGAUGAACUGGGUGCACAGACUCUGUCUUGACCUUUCACUUUAUACCCAAUUCUUUAGGCUAAAUUUUGACAUUCUAAUUGGACUUCCAGAGUUAGUAGUUCUCACACUAAAGACUGUGUAAUUACAAGUUAACCAUGUACAGGUUGGUGAUAGAAGCAGAAGUAGAUAUUUCUGGGCUAUGCAGGGCUAUGGUAAGGGAUUUGGAAUGAAAUAGGUCUGGGCUUAAAUCUUGUAUCUCUAGCUAUGAACUUCAGUUUCCUCAUCAGUCUAUUGGAAUAUAACUACCUUUUAGGGUUGUGGUGAGACUUAGAAUAUCUGUAACCCCUCUAGUGGGUUGUAUGGUAACAGCAAUUGUGUCACAUUGUUGUUUUGUUGUUAGCUGUAAGAAAACUCAGGCUGGGCUGAGUUGUUCCUUGAAGGCGUAAUUAAUUAAUUUUUUCUGAGACAGAGUCUCAUGCUGUGUGAUCUCGCUGACUGCAACUUCCGCCUUCCAGGUUCAAGCAAUUCUCCUUGCCUCAUCCUCCUGACUAGCUGGGAUUACAGGUGCCCGCCACCACGCCCAGCUAAUUUUUGUAUUUAUUUAUUUUUUUUAGUAGAGAUGGGUUUUCACCAUGUUGGCCAGGCUGGUCUCAAACUCCUGACCUCAGGUGAUCCACCCGCCUUGGCCUCCCAAAGUGCUGGGAUUAUAGGCAUGAGCCACCACGCCUGGCCUGAAGGCAUAAUUUAAAAGUCACCUUCUCUAUGAAGCCUCCACAGGUUCUAGGCAAGUAUAACUCUUCCUUCCUUGUGUGACCACAGCACUUACCAUGGCAUGCUCUCAUUUGUCUCUUUACAUGCCUCUUCACUACAGAGUCUGGGAGCCUCUCCAGGGCAGGGCUGUAUCUUGAUUCACUUUUAUGUCCAUUAUCAAUACCCUGCACAGGACCUGAUAUUAAAUAUUGAAAUAAUGAGUUUUUAAGUGUUUCAGUUUCUUGUAUUGGUUCUGACUUUCAGUAUAACUCUUAUUAUACUACAGGCUCUAAAACCUGAACCCUUUAGCUCAUAAAUAAUUCAUACUAAAUUUAUGUAUUAUGUAUAUGUAUCUGCUUAAACCUUGAUGAUGUCAAUGCUGGGAUUGUUCUUUCAGAUCAACCUGCUAUUCUUGUUUUGUUUUGCAUUUGAUUUCAGUUGAUCCUACCUGGUAAGAGUGCAAGUAAAAUCUACAUUCUAAACCAAAACCACCAGCAGGAUUUUACGCUGCAUUCUCUAUCCACCCUGUGCACAUCUGCUCCCCAUACCAUUUCUGAGCUUUGUGGGAAGAGGCUGAGCUAAAAGAAAACGUUGUUGUUUUAAGUUUCAGUUGUUUAGACUGUUGCAACCAUUAGCACUUUCUGAAUUAAUACCUGCAAGAUAAAUGCUACCUUUAGCAACAGUUUUGAAAUCCUUGACUCUGUGCCAUUAAAAAUGCUAGACAGGGAAAAAUAAAACCUUCCCUAGAAAAUUCUUUUGCCCAGAAAGUUGCCUGAGAGGUAAUGUCAAAUGUGGACUUGAUCCCAAAAUGGCAGUUGAAUUUGUACCAGAGGAGAUGGUGGUCUAUUGGGGCUAAAAAUGAUACCCCAAAAUGAAGGAAUAAAAAGCAGCCUCAGAAGCAAAGUCUCUGUCUAGCUUUCUCCUGCCCUCCUGUCUCUCACUCUCUUAUUCUCCCUUGAAGCAAGCCAUAGAAACUGGAAUCCUUCUUCCCUGAGGUGGGUCAUAUAAACCAGAACCUUUUCCCCAAAACCAGCCUUAGAGCCUAAACAUUUUACUCUAAUCUUCUCCCUCCCUUCCCUUUCUCUUUCUUGCUAACUGCUGGCCAUAAAGAAAUUAAGACCCUCAUUCCAGGGGGUCCUACCCCAUACCUGGGAGGAAGGAAUGUUAUAUCGAAAGGCCAAGAAGAAAUCUGAACAGACAGGCCUUGCUGGAUUUCCCCAUUCCCCUUGCUGGAUCAUACCCCUUUUGUCCAAUCAUAUUUCUACACAGCUUUCCAUACUUCAUUGAACCCAAGCAUAAAAAUGGGCCAAGAGAAGGUGGCUCAUACCUAUAACCCCAGCAUUCUGGGAGGCCGAGGUGCAACAUCACUUGGGCCCAGAAGUUACAGGUUACAGUGAGCUAUGAUCAGGACAUUGCACUCCAGCCUGAUCUACAGAGUGAGACCCUAAAUCAAAAAUAAAAAUAAUAAUAAAGGAAUAGUUGCCCCUAUAUCUUGGGGUCUUCAUUCUGAAGGCUCCUGUGUCACACAAAACUACGAUCAAAUAAAUUUGUUAUGCUUUUCUCUUGUUAAUUUGCCUUUGUUAGAGAGGUGUCAACUGUUAUGAUAGGAAGGAAAGGAAUCACCCCUUUUUGCUCCCUACAGUACCAAGGACCUAAAAAUAGGAUUCUAUAAAACUUUGAAUCAGAUUCUUCUAAAACAAACCUUAUUUAUUUUACCACCCCAAGACAGAAUUGUUUGAUCCCACUAACUUGUGAAAUUUUCUUUGGAAAUAGUAAAGAAUAAACACUUAUGAGGUACACAUUAUGUGCUAAAUGCAGGUUGAAUAUCUGUUACCCAAAUUCCUUGGGACCAGAAGUGUUCUGGAUUUCAGAUUUUGAAUAUUUGCACUAUACUUACCAGUUGAGCAUACCAAAUUCAAAAGUCUAAAAUGCUCCAAUGAGAAUUUCCUAUAAGCCUUAUGUCAGUGUUCAGAAAAUUUGGAGCACCUCAGAUUUGGGAUGCUCAAUGUGUGCUAGCUUUAUAUGCAUUGUCUCAUUUAUUCACCAUAGCUAUCCAUUACACAGGCAGUAUUAUUUUCUCAUAUUGACAGAUGAGAAAACAGAGGCCCAUUGUAAUCCAGUAGCUAGCUGAAGGUCACAUAAUCAGUGAGUAGAAGAGUUGGGAUUUGGGCCUAGGCAAGUCAAUUUCAGGGUUCUCAUGCUUACUCACUACUUAAUCCUAUAGGAAAGGAGUAUUUAUUUUUAAAUGGAACCCAUCAGUUAUUUCAGUAAGGUUAAUAAUGUACUUUUUCAGUAUUUCAAAAUUGCAUUGAUUUGUGCUUUUUCCACUAGUGUACUCAUAUCCCAUAUGUGCCUUCAUGAGCUGGUUUUACAGCUUACUCUUUAAUUGAAAAGCACUUUACAACUGAAAGCAAACUUCUUAAUCAAAGAUCAUAAUGUGUCCGUAGCUCCGAGUUAAGGCAACAUGAACUAUAACCAGACAGAGAGUCUCAUUCUUAGAAUUAUUGUUCAGAUGGGUCGAUAGAUAAGUAACUUUCACAUGAGAAAUAUUAUUAUAUUAUGAUAUAAUAAGAAAUAUAUAUAUAUAUUGGUCAUUGUCUAUGGUUCCUGGCUUACAGCUUCUAAAACUCUUGUAAUUUCCUCAGUGAUUAGAGCUAUAGGAUCAUUUUUGAUUAUAUUUGGGUUUUGUCUUUAGUUCCUGAAAUAGCUCCAGAUAAAGGUGAAAAAAGUGUCUUUUAUUACUCAUAAGAUGUCUUCUUCAACCACACCUGGGUUUAUGUUAAUGAAGCAAUUUUUGGAAAGCCCCUAGAUAACUGCAGGAUGGGAGCUGGUUGCUAUGGAAACUUAAACGUGUGUGUGUGUGUGUGUGUGUGUGUGUGUGUGUGUGUGUGUGUGUGUCUAGACUAGAGGGUUGGAAUUUUCAGCCCCACCUGGACCUUUGACCUUUUGGGAGUGUAGAGGAACUGGAAACUGACUUAAUUACCAACGCUAAUGAUUUAAUCAAUCGGGCCUAUGUAAUGAUGCCUUUAUAGAAACCAAAAAGGAUGGAGUUCAGAGACCUUCCAUGUUGAUGAACAAGAACACAUUCACCUGCUGUAGGGGUAGGUGUACCCCAAAACUCCACUGAUACAGAAGCUUCUAUACUCAAGACCCUUCUAUACUCAAGACCCUGGAUCUUACCCUAUAUAUCUCUUCAUCUGGCUAUUUAUUUGCAUCUUUUAAUAUAUCCUUUGUAAUAAACUAGUAAUCUAGAAAGCAAACUUUUCCUAGCUCUGUAGGCCAUUCUAGUAAAUGAUUAAACCUGAGGAGGAGUUAUGGGAACCUUUGAUUUGUAGACAAGUUGGACAAAAGUGGUAUAUAUCCUAAUAUAACAUGGGAACCUGCCACUUAUGAUUGGCGUGUGAAAUUGGGGGAUGGGGAAGCAGUCUUGUGGGACUGAGCCCUUAGCCUGUGGGGUCUAAUGCUAUCUUCAGGUAAUAUCAGAACUGAGUUAAAUUAUAGGAUACCAGUCAGUGUCCAUUGGAGAACUGAAUUAUUGUGAGGAGAAACCCACACAUUUGGUGGCUAAAAGUAUUGAUGUGAGUAGUAGCAUAUAGGAGUUUUUUGCUAUAUACAUAUGUAGUGUAAGUUUAAAGUAAAAAGUUUUGUAUUGUCAGGAGUGACUUCUUUGCACCUAAAUAUCACUGCUAUAACUGCGUUACUAAGGAAUAGUUGCUUGCUUUUAUGUAUUUGGCACCUGCAGCUACUGUUCUAAAAAGUUUGCAUGUGUUAACCUAUUAAUUAAAUCUACAAAUGACUGGCUGUACCCAUGAAGUGAGUUAUUCUAAAGACAAUGGAACAUUUAAAUGGUUUAGAAAUUUUUUGAUUAAAAAUACAUUAAUAAUAUCUCCUAAAGAAUGUGACUGAUUUUUUUCCAGGGCUCAAAUUUUUCAGUCUUUUCAUAACACCAUAUUUUAUUAUGCAUACACAAUAUGCCAUAGAGCCUGUCAGAUCACAACUUAACAUUGAAUUGCCUCAAAUUUCAGUGGCAUCAGCCCUGACGAAGCAUCUAAUUUUAAGCCUAAGCAAUUGUUUCUUUGUUUUGAAUGAGAAGCUGUCCUCUCUUUGAGGCAUGAAGAUCCAUGGCUCAGGAAACCUUAUCACGGUAGUGAAAUUGAAGAUGCUCUUGUUACUCACAUAAACAUGAUUCUCUCUUUGGAAAAUUAUUGUAGACGGUGCUUUGUAUGUUUAGGAAAUGCCGUAGCCAUGCGCACAUGCUCUGUCCGUGAAAGCCACCACCCAUCCUGAGGUAUGAUGCAUUUUUUUUUAGCAUUUUUGGAGCUUCUUAGUUUCCUGAAUCCACUCAUAUUUUUGUCUCUUUAGGAAACAACAUCAGCAACAACAAAGCCUGAUUUCCCUUCUCAGUAUCAGUGAUGUAUUAAUGGCACUUUUGCUGUUAGUGAAAAGAACAUAAGCUGGAAUUGAUGAGACCUGGAUUCCAGUCAUAUUUCUUUCAUUGACCAACUUUGUGACUUGGGAGAAAUCUCUUAAUAUCUUUACAUCCUCAGUCCUCAUUUGAAAAUGAGAGGAUUGGGAAAGAUGUCUUCUUAGGGCUUGUUUGGUGUGAGAAUUUUAUACAUAGAUAUUAAAAUUAUACAUGUUUAUCCUCCUUAGAUUUCAGUCAGUAAUGGAUAUUACCACCAGCAUUUAAUCAAGGAAGCAGGAAGUGAUCCAUCACUGCUAGCUGCUAUCUACAGGAAUUCUGUCUACAGGCAGGGCAGACCAGUCAGCCAGUAUCUUCCCGAAGUACCUUGGUCUUCCACCAUCCAUCCCACUGAGAGAGCCGUUCCUCUAAUGAGGCAUUUCUAAGCAGCUGUCCAUUGAACUCUACCCCUUGAGAUAUCCUGAGAAAUAGGAAUCUAUGGUUCCUAUUGUUUGGAAAGUAGUAUAUCUUCCUUGAAGAUUCACAAUGCGUAUUAAUAUGCUUAGGGCUCUGAUAAGUCCUGUAUUAAAAAUGCUUGUUAAACUUUGCUGAACCUAGCAUUUCUUUAACUUCACUUGGCCGUGGAGCUAUUUCCUUUAUUACACCUAUCAACAUUCCAAAAGAAUAAAAUUCCUUAGAAUAGAAUAUUUUGUUAUUUUUGAGUUAAAGACUGCAGAGCCUUCAUAAGACUUUUCUUGUUGGAAAGAGAAGGGAAUUGUGGGCUCUAUAACUCAUUUAAUGAAUAUCUGUCAAGAUAAGCCCUCUUGGUAGAUGUUUUCUUCAGCUAUUUUCCUUACAAACAUCAGUCAUAAUAGAGUGCCUGACAUCUUUAAUAGGACAAAGAGUAUCCAUUCUCAUUGGUAAUAGUGCAGCUUUGUUCUGUUACACUGAGGAAUAGUUCCCUGGCUGUUACAUACUCUUGUUAGCCUCUGGGUUCCAUGACAUCCUUUCAGAAAUAGCUGAAACUGAUAUAGAACACGCACAUAUUCUGAGCACAAAAAAGAUGACAUAGAAUAGUCUAUUAUUGGUGACUAUUGGAAGACAGUUCUCUAUGGGUCUCUAGUGUUUUUGUACUCUUUCUUCCAAAAUAAAUGUUCAAGGAUAUUUGUACAGUGAACAGCCUUGAAAGAUAGAGAUAAUGUCUUUCUCUGGAGCAAAAGCCAGACAUGUUUACUGUCCAGUAUAAUAAAGAUAAUGUUUUUCUCCAAAGCAAACGGGAAGCAUACUUACUGCUCAUAAAAGGUUGAUAUUCCCUAGCUCAGGAUUUCUCUCCUAUAACACAAUCCACUGUGGAGUUAGGUGCUUUCUCGCUCUCUUUGCAUCUCCCUGUGGGAAGUGGGUCUCCAGGAACUGAUAUAAAAAUGCUGAUACUUUGGAUACUGCUAUUGAAGUGAGUAGUAAACUUUCUUUUGUCUCUGACCCAGGACUUUUCACGUCUUAUACCACCAUCCCAGAAAGUGUAGCAGGCUAGUAUUUUAGUUUCCAAGGAUAAGAAAAUUUCAGACCCUCCACAUUUCUUUACAACGACUAGCUUUUUCCUCUCUACUAGGUGGAAAUUGAUGGGAUAACUUGAUAUACUUAUCUACCCU
Molecule: long non-coding RNA, 8652 nt
Filed under: Homo sapiens (human)
Lineage: Eukaryota; Metazoa; Chordata; Mammalia; Primates; Hominidae
Description: non-protein coding LRRC8C-DT:44
Source: RNAcentral